GACGAACGCUGGCGGCGUGCUUAACACAUGCAAGUCGAACGGAAAGGCCCUGCUUUUGUGGGGUGCUCGAGUGGCGAACGGGUGAGUAACACGUGAGUAACCUGCCCUUGACUUUGGGAUAACUUCAGGAAACUGGGGCUAAUACCGGAGAGGAGCUCCUGCUGCAUGGGGGGGGUUGGAAAGUUUCGGCGGUUGGGGAUGGACUCGCGGCUUAUCAGCUUGUUGGGGGGGUAGUGGCUUACCAAGGCUUUGACGGGUAGCCGGCCUGAGAGGGUGACCGGCCACAUUGGGACUGAGAUACGGCCCAGACUCCUACGGGAGGCAGCAGUGGGGAAUAUUGCACAAUGGGCGGAAGCCUGAUGCAGCAACGCCGCGUGCGGGAUGCCGGCCUUCGGGUUGUAAACCGCUUUCGCCUGUGACGAAGCGUGAGUGGCGUUAAUGGGUAAAGAAGCACCGGCUAACUACGUG
This 468-nucleotide ribosomal RNA is filed under the name uncultured bacterium. RNAcentral's name for it is "partial 16S ribosomal RNA". It matches the Rfam family "Bacterial small subunit ribosomal RNA", at positions 28 to 507 of the family's 1533-position model. The record is from RNAcentral.